Molecule: ribosomal RNA, 316 nt
Filed under: gut metagenome
Description: bacterial SSU rRNA
Rfam family: Bacterial small subunit ribosomal RNA
Source: RNAcentral
ACACGUGCUACAAUGGCGUAAACAAAGGGAAGCGAAGUCGUGAGGCGGAGCGAAUCCCAAAAAUAACGUCUCAGUUCGGAUUGUAGUCUGCAACUCGACUACAUGAAGCUGGAAUCGCUAGUAAUCGCGAAUCAGAAUGUCGCGGUGAAUACGUUCCCGGGUCUUGUACACACCGCCCGUCACACCAUGGGAGUCAGUAACGCCCGAAGUCAGUGACCUAACCGAAAGGGAGGAGCUGCCGAAGGUGGGACCGAUAACUGGGGUGAAGUCGUAACAAGGUAGCCGUAUCGGAAGGUGCGGCUGGAUCACCUCCUUU